RNAcentral lists this ribosomal RNA (497 nucleotides) under uncultured bacterium. Its description in RNAcentral is "partial 16S ribosomal RNA". It matches the Rfam family "Bacterial small subunit ribosomal RNA", at positions 28 to 507 of the family's 1533-position model. The record is from RNAcentral.
GAUGAACGCUGGCGGCGUGCCUAAUACAUGCAAGUCGAGCGAACAGACGAGGAGCUUGCUCCUCUGACGUUAGCGGCGGACGGGUGAGUAACACGUGGAUAACCUACCUAUAAGACUGGGAUAACUUCGGGAAACCGGAGCUAAUACCGGAUAAUAUAUUGAACCGCAUGGUUCAAUAGUGAAAGUCGGUUUUGCUGUCACUUAUAGAUGGAUCCGCGCCGCAUUAGCUAGUUGGUAAGGUAACGGCUUACCAAGGCAACGAUGCGUAGCCGACCUGAGAGGGUGAUCGGCCACACUGGAACUGAGACACGGUCCAGACUCCUACGGGAGGCAGCAGUAGGGAAUCUUCCGCAAUGGGCGAAAGCCUGACGGAGCAACGCCGCGUGAGUGAUGAAGGUCUUCGGAUCGUAAAACUCUGUUAUUAGGGAAGAACAAAUGUGUAAGUAACUAUGCACGUCUUGACGGUACCUAAUCAGAAAGCCACGGCUGACUACGUG